AGAGUUUGAUCCUGGCUCAGAUUGAACGCUGGCGGCAUGCUUUACACAUGCAAGUCGAACGGCAGCGGGGGCUUCGGCCUGCCGGCGAGUGGCGAACGGGUGAGUAAUGCAUCGGAACGUACCCAGUCGUGGGGGAUAACUACGCGAAAGCGUGGCUAAUACCGCAUACGCCCUGAGGGGGAAAGCGGGGGACCUUCGGGCCUCGCGCGAUUGGAGCGGCUGAUGUCGGAUUAGCUAGUUGGUGGGGUAAAGGCCUACCAAGGCGACGAUCCGUAGCUGGUCUGAGAGGAUGAUCAGCCACACUGGGACUGAGACACGGCCCAGACUCCUACGGGAGGCAGCAGUGGGGAAUUUUGGACAAUGGGCGAAAGCCUGAUCCAGCCAUGCCGCGUGAGUGAAGAAGGCCUUCGGGUUGUAAAGCUCUUUCAGACGGAAAGAAAUCGGGCGAGCCAAUACCUCGCCUGGAUGACGGUACUGUCAGAAGAAGCACCGGCUAACUACGUGCCAGCAGCCGCGGUAAUACGUAGGGUGCGAGCGUUAAUCGGAAUUACUGGGCGUAAAGCGUGCGCAGGCGGUUGUGUAAGACAGGUGUGAAAUCCCCGGGCUUAACCUGNGAACUGCGCUUGUGACUGCACGGCUAGAGUACGGCAGAGGGGGGUGGAAUUCCACGUGUA
This 674-nucleotide ribosomal RNA is filed under the name uncultured Azoarcus sp. RNAcentral's name for it is "bacterial SSU rRNA". It matches the Rfam family "Bacterial small subunit ribosomal RNA", at positions 8 to 677 of the family's 1533-position model. Lineage: Bacteria; Pseudomonadati; Pseudomonadota; Betaproteobacteria; Rhodocyclales; Zoogloeaceae. The record is from RNAcentral.